RNAcentral lists this transfer RNA (54 nucleotides) under Plagiorhynchus transversus. RNAcentral describes it as "tRNA-His". Lineage: Eukaryota; Metazoa; Acanthocephala; Palaeacanthocephala; Polymorphida; Plagiorhynchidae. The record is from RNAcentral.
GCAGAAGUAGUAUAAAAGUAUGUCUUAUUGUGGUUAAGAGGGCGAUGUUUUGCA